CCUGACGCAGCAACGCCGCGUGAGUGAUGAAGGUUUUCGGAUCGUAAAGCUCUGUCAGAGGGGAAGAACAUCCUGGUGGUUAAUACCUGCCAGGCCUGACGGUACCCUCAAAGGAAGCACCGGCUAACUCCGUGCCAGCAGCCGCGGUAAUACGGAGGGUGCAAGCGUUGUUCGGAAUUAUUGGGCGUAAAGCGCGUGUAGGCGGCCUUUUAAGUCUGAUGUGAAAGCCCGGGGCUCAACCCCGGAAGUGCAUUGGAAACUGGAAGGCUUGAGUACGGGAGAGGGAAGUGGAAUUUCGAGUGUAGGGGUGAAAUCCGUAGAUAUUCGAAGGAACACCGGUGGCGAAGGCGGCUUCCUGGACCGAUACUGACGCUGAGACGCGAAAGCGUGGGGAGCAAACAGGAUUAGAUACCCUGGUAGUCCACGCCGUAAACGAUGGGCACUAGGUGUCGCGGGUAUUGACCCCUGCGGUGCCGAAGCUAACGCAUUAAGUGCCCCGCCUGGGG
RNAcentral lists this ribosomal RNA (506 nucleotides) under uncultured bacterium. RNAcentral's name for it is "bacterial SSU rRNA". It matches the Rfam family "Bacterial small subunit ribosomal RNA", at positions 382 to 878 of the family's 1533-position model. The record is from RNAcentral.